GACGAACGCUGGCGGCGUGCCUAAUACAUGCAAGUUGAGCGCUGAAGGUUGGUACUUGUACCGACUGGAUGAGCAGCGCACGGGUGAAUCACGCGUGGGGAAUCUGCCUUUGAGCGGGGGACAACAUGGGAAAACGAAUUCUAAUCCCGCAUAAACUCUUGAAACACAAGGUUGAAGGGUGAAAGACGCAAUUGGAUCACUCAAAGAUGAUCCCUCGUCGUAUUAGCGAGUUGGUGGGGUAAAGAGUCAUCAAGGCGAUGUUACAUAGCCGACGUGAGAGGGUGAUCGGCCACAUUGAGACUGAGACACGGCACAAACGGCUACGGGGAGCAGCAGUAGGGAAUCGUGGGCAAGGGACGGGAGACAGACCGAGCAACGCCGCGGGAGGGAGCAAGGUUUUCGGAUCGGAAAUCUCGGUUGGUAGGGUAGAACGUUGGUGAGAGUGGAAAGCUGAUCAAGUGACGGUAACGAGCCAGAAAGGGACGGCUAACUACGUG
This 497-nucleotide ribosomal RNA is filed under the name uncultured bacterium. RNAcentral's name for it is "partial 16S ribosomal RNA". It matches the Rfam family "Bacterial small subunit ribosomal RNA", at positions 28 to 507 of the family's 1533-position model. The record is from RNAcentral.